RNAcentral lists this unclassified non-coding RNA (511 nucleotides) under Hevea brasiliensis (rubber tree). Lineage: Eukaryota; Viridiplantae; Streptophyta; Magnoliopsida; Malpighiales; Euphorbiaceae. The record is from RNAcentral.
GGAGACUGCAUUAUGUUUUGUUAUGAUAGAGAUAAAGGCAUCGUUACAAAUAAAAGAACCUUUGCAUUACUAAAAAGAGAAAUACAAGAUAUCUAGCCAAACAAUAUACUGAUAAGAUCAGAGGAGAAUACACUUGCGCCAUUACUGAAAAUCUAGAGGCACUGAUAUAUUCUCGUGUCCCGAUUUCUUGACCAAGUAGUAUGUACGUAAGUAAAUAUCGAAAAACACAUUCAUUUUAUUGUUGUUAAUAGGAGAACGAACCGUAGAUAGCCGACACUUUUUCUACGCUCCAAAUUUAGGGACUUUGGCAGUUGAAAUCUGAGCAAGGAAGUGCUCUGCAACAAGUCGUCGUUGAAUUUUCCCUGAUGCAGUCUUUGGAAGAGAAUCAGUCAUGAAUACCUUCUUUGGGACCUUAAAGGCUGCCAGGUUCUUCUUGCAAAAUCUCAUAACCUCUGCUUCAUCAAUGUUUGACCCUUCUCUUGGAAUAAUUGCACAAUUUAUCUCUUCACCA